This 1251-nucleotide long non-coding RNA is filed under the name Anas platyrhynchos platyrhynchos (common mallard). RNAcentral's name for it is "lncRNA (ENSAPLG00000022094.1)". The record is from RNAcentral. Lineage: Eukaryota; Metazoa; Chordata; Aves; Anseriformes; Anatidae.
GAUUCAAACUUUUCCCCUCUAGUCUCCCAAAUCAUUGUAAACAGACAUAACAAUGUUCUAACUUGAUAGUAAUACUGGCUUUUUGGCCACAGACAGCUCAUUGGAGCUGUUUUGUAAAUCAAAAGAAAGGAAGAGCGGGGGAAAGCCAAUCUCUCGCUUUAUUUAUAUUAUCAGUCUUUGGUGAAUGAUUUAUCAUUUAAGUGCUUUGAAAAGAGAGUCCAGAAACCAUUGUCCAAUUAGUGCUGCCCUCUUAAACCACAUACUAUAAAUAUUCGUAAUUAUCAGAAUCAAAAAACAAUGUUCAUCAGGGCUUCAUAUUCAGGGUAACAACUUAUUUUCUGGAUUUGCCCAGCAAAAUUUAUAUUUAUCCAAAUUAGGCAGAGAAUUGAAAACAAAUGAGGCUGUUGGUUUAUUUGAGAGUGAAACCAAUCACAGACAAUGAGAAGACAGGAAUACAGGGAUAAAAAUAUAAAAAUAACACGUUUAACUGUUUAUUUCUUUAUUCUUGUAGAUUUCUACAUUGACUUUAAUUAAGCUAGCCCUGGGCUAGUGGGCAUGGGUAGAUUUUUUUUUUCCUUUUUUAGUUUUUAAUUCCUCAUUAGGCUGUUUUUUCCUUAGCUCUCGUGGCUCUAAUGACUAGUCCCAUUAAAUAGGUCAAUGGGCUUCUUUUAUUUCAAGUUUUAUAUAGACUCAUAUUCCACUGAAUCUUAAACACUGAACACCCAAAGACUUUCUAGGCAUAUUUCUUCGUUCCUGUUGAUACAUAUGUAUUUAUUUCCCUUUUCCCUUCUCCCCACAGCAGCUGAGCUUUAAUUUCAGCAUACCUGCAGAAAGCUCAGGAAAGUCUGGGCCAGCCACGUGCAAAACUAUGUCCCAGAGUUGAGCAGUGAUGAAACAAGCCUUUCUGCGAUGGGAAAGGAGGGAAAGCUCGAAGUAUAACCAAAGAGCAGCAGCAGGGUAUGGACAGAUGAGAGGCCAUCACUGGUGGUGCAAAUACCAUCCUGUGGACCUUCCGCUUGUCCUCCAGAUACCAAAGGGUCAAAGAUGACAAGAGGCCAUCCUAAGUACCUUGAGUAGAUUGCAAAAUGAUGUUUUGUUACAGGAAAAAGGGAAGUGUAGCCAAUAACUAACCCCUCCAAAUCACCUUUUUUUUUUUUUUUUUUCCUUUUUCUUUUCCUGAUUAUGUGAAUUGCCUUUAAUUGGUAUGAAGAACAUAAUAAAUAUUUUGUUCUUCCAAGAAGUUGUUGUUCA